GCUGGGCGAGAUGGCACACGCCUGUAAUCCCAGCAGCUCCGGAACCUGAGGCAGGAGGAUCUCUAGUUCAAAGCCAGCCUCAUCAAUUAUCAAGGUCCUAAGCAACUCAGUGAGACCCUGUCUCUA
RNAcentral lists this small RNA (126 nucleotides) under Marmota monax (woodchuck). The record is from RNAcentral. Lineage: Eukaryota; Metazoa; Chordata; Mammalia; Rodentia; Sciuridae.